Molecule: ribosomal RNA, 1508 nt
Filed under: Staphylococcus aureus
Lineage: Bacteria; Bacillati; Bacillota; Bacilli; Caryophanales; Staphylococcaceae
Description: partial 23S ribosomal RNA
Rfam family: Bacterial large subunit ribosomal RNA
Source: RNAcentral
AGGACGUUACUAACGACGAUAUGCUUUGGGGAGCUGUAAGUAAGCUUUGAUCCAGAGAUUUCCGAAUGGGGAAACCCAGCAUGAGUUAUGUCAUGUUAUCGAUAUGUGAAUACAUAGCAUAUCAGAAGGCACACCCGGAGAACUGAAACAUCUUAGUACCCGGAGGAAGAGAAAGAAAAUUCGAUUCCCUUAGUAGCGGCGAGCGAAACGGGAAGAGCCCAAACCAACAAGCUUGCUUGUUGGGGUUGUAGGACACUCUAUACGGAGUUACAAAGGACGACAUUAGACGAAUCAUCUGGAAAGAUGAAUCAAAGAAGGUAAUAAUCCUGUAGUCGAAAAUGUUGUCUCUCUUGAGUGGAUCCUGAGUACGACGGAGCACGUGAAAUUCCGUCGGAAUCUGGGAGGACCAUCUCCUAAGGCUAAAUACUCUCUAGUGACCGAUAGUGAACCAGUACCGUGAGGGAAAGGUGAAAAGCACCCCGGAAGGGGAGUGAAAUAGAACCUGAAACCGUGUGCUUACAAGUAGUCAGAGCCCGUUAAUGGGUGAUGGCGUGCCUUUUGUAGAAUGAACCGGCGAGUUACGAUUUGAUGCAAGGUUAAGCAGUAAAUGUGGAGCCGUAGCGAAAGCGAGUCUGAAUAGGGCGUUUAGUAUUUGGUCGUAGACCCGAAACCAGGUGAUCUACCCUUGGUCAGGUUGAAGUUCAGGUAACACUGAAUGGAGGACCGAACCGACUUACGUUGAAAAGUGAGCGGAUGAACUGAGGGUAGCGGAGAAAUUCCAAUCGAACCUGGAGAUAGCUGGUUCUCUCCGAAAUAGCUUUAGGGCUAGCCUCAAGUGAUGAUUAUUGGAGGUAGAGCACUGUUUGGACGAGGGGCCCCUCUCGGGUUACCGAAUUCAGACAAACUCCGAAUGCCAAUUAAUUUAACUUGGGAGUCAGAACAUGGGUGAUAAGGUCCGUGUUCGAAAGGGAAACAGCCCAGACCACCAGCUAAGGUCCCAAAAUAUAUGUUAAGUGGAAAAGGAUGUGGCGUUGCCCAGACAACUAGGAUGUUGGCUUAGAAGCAGCCAUCAUUUAAAGAGUGCGUAAUAGCUCACUAGUCGAGUGACACUGCGCCGAAAAUGUACCGGGGCUAAACAUAUUACCGAAGCUGUGGAUUGUCCUUUGGACAAUGGUAGGAGAGCGUUCUAAGGGCGUUGAAGCAUGAUCGUAAGGACAUGUGGAGCGCUUAGAAGUGAGAAUGCCGGUGUGAGUAGCGAAAGACGGGUGAGAAUCCCGUCCACCGAUUGACUAAGGUUUCCAGAGGAAGGCUCGUCCGCUCUGGGUUAGUCGGGUCCUAAGCUGAGGCCGACAGGCGUAGGCGAUGGAUAACAGGUUGAUAUUCCUGUACCACCUAUAAUCGUUUUAAUCGAUGGGGGGACGCAGUAGGAUAGGCGAAGCGUGCGAUUGGAUUGCACGUCUAAGCAGUAAGGCUGAGUAUUAGGCAAAUCCGGUACUCGUUAAGGCUGA